RNAcentral lists this non-coding RNA (45 nucleotides) under Trichobilharzia regenti. Lineage: Eukaryota; Metazoa; Platyhelminthes; Trematoda; Strigeidida; Schistosomatidae. The record is from RNAcentral.
AUCAAGCUGACGAGUCCUAAAUAGGACGGAAUGUGCAUCCUGGAU